GGGUUGUGAGGUUAAGUGACUAAGCGUACACGGUGGAUGCCUAGGCAGUCAGAGGCGAUGAAGGGCGUGCUAAUCUGCGAUAAGCGUCGGUAAGGUGAUAUGAACCAUUAUAACCGGCGAUACCCGAAUGGGGAAACCCAGUGCAAUCCGUUGCACUAUCAUAACAUGAAUACAUAGUGUUAUGAGGCGAACCGGGGGAACUGAAACAUCUAAGUACCCCGAGGAAAAGAAAUCAACCGAGAUUCCCCUAGUAGCGGCGAGCGAACGGGGAGGAGCCCAGAACCUGAAUCAGUUUGUGUGUUAGUGGAAGCGUCUGGAAAGUCGCACGGAACAGGGUGAUAGUCCCGUACACCAAAAUGCACAAGUUGUGAGUUCGAUGAGUAAGGCGGGACACGUGACAUCCUGUCUGAAUAUGGGGGGACCAUCCUCCAAGGCUAAAUACUCCUGACUGACCGAUAGUGAACCAGUACCGUGAGGGAAAGGCGAAAAGAACCCCGGCGAGGGGAGUGAAAUAGAACCUGAAACCGUGUACGUACAAGCAGUGGGAGCCUACUUUGUUGGGUGACUGCGUACCUUUUGUAUAAUGGGUCAGCGACUUAUAUUUUGUAGCAAGGUUAACCGAAUAGGGGAGCCGUAGGGAAACCGAGUCUUAACUGGGCGUCAAGUUGCAAGGUAUAGACCCGAAACCCGGUGAUCUAGCCAUGGGCAGGUUGAAGGUUGGGUAACACUAACUGGAGGACCGAACCGACUAAUGUUGAAAAAUUAGCGGAUGACUUGUGGCUGGGGGUGAAAGGCCAAUCAAACCGGGAGAUAGCUGGUUCUCCCCGAAAGCUAUUUAGGUAGCGCCUCGUGAACUCAUCUUCGGGGGUAGAGCACUGUUUCGACUAGGGGUCCAUCCCGGAUUACCAACUCGAUGCAAACUCCGAAUACCGAAGAAUGUUAUCACGGGAGACACACGGCGGGUGCUAACGUCCGUCGUGAAGAGGGAAACAACCCAGACCGCCAGCUAAGGUCCCAAAGUCAUGGUUAAGUGGGAAACGAUGUGGGAAGGCAUAGACAGCCAGGAUGUUGGCUUAGAAGCAGCCAUCAUUUAAAGAAAGCGUAAUAGCUCACUGGUCGAGUCGGCCUGCGCGGAAGAUGUAACGGGGCUAAACCAUGCACCGAAGCUGCGGCAGCGAUAUGAAAGUAUUGUUGGGUAGGGGAGCGUUCUGUAAGCCUGUGAAGCUGGACUGUGAGGUCUGGUGGAGGUAUCAGAAGUGCGAAUGCUGACAUAAGUAACGAUAAAGCGGGUGAAAAGCCCGCUCGCCGGAAGACCAAGGGUUCCUGUCCAACGUUAAUCGGGGCAGGGUGAGUCGACCCCUAAGGCGAGGCCGAAAGGCGUAGUCGAUGGGAAACAGGUUAAUAUUCCUGUACUUGGUGUUACUGCGAAGGGGGGACGAAGAAGGCUAGGCUAUCCGGGCGACGGUUGUCCCGGUUUAAGCGUGUAGGUGGGUCGAUUAGGUAAAUCCGGUUGACUAUUAACACUGAGGCGUGAUGACGAGCCACUACGGUGGUGAAGUAGUUGAUGCCCUGCUUCCAGGAAAAGCCUCUAAGCUCCAGGUAACAUUAAAUCGUACCCCAAACCGACACAGGUGGUCAGGUAGAGAAUACUCAGGCGCUUGAGAGAACUCGGGUGAAGGAACUAGGCAAAAUGGUGCCGUAACUUCGGGAGAAGGCACGCUGACGUUAGGUGAAGAGACUUGCUCUCGGAGCUGAAGUCAGUCGAAGAUACCAGCUGGCUGCAACUGUUUAUUAAAAACACAGCACUGUGCAAACACGAAAGUGGACGUAUACGGUGUGACGCCUGCCCGGUGCUGGAAGGUUAAUUGAUGGGGUUAGCGUAAGCGAAGCUCUUGAUCGAAGCCCCAGUAAACGGCGGCCGUAACUAUAACGGUCCUAAGGUAGCGAAAUUCCUUGUCGGGUAAGUUCCGACCUGCACGAAUGGCGUAAUGAUGGCCAGGCUGUCUCCACCCGAGACUCAGUGAAAUUGAACUCGCAGUGAAGAUGCUGUGUACCCGCGGCAAGACGGAAAGACCCCGUGAACCUUUACUAUAGCUUGACACUGAACAUUGAGCCUUGAUGUGUAGGAUAGGUGGGAGGCUUAGAAGCGUGGACGCCAGUCUGCGUGGAGCCAACCUUGAAAUACCACCCUUUAAUGUUUGAUGUUCUAACUUUGACCCGUUAUCCGGGUUGAGGACAGUGUCUGGUGGGUAGUUUGACUGGGGCGGUCUCCUCCCAAAGAGUAACGGAGGAGCACGAAGGUUAGCUAAUCACGGUCGGACAUCGUGAGGUUAGUGCAAUGGCAUAAGCUAGCUUGACUGCGAGAGUGACGGCUCGAGCAGGUACGAAAGUAGGUCAUAGUGAUCCGGUGGUUCUGAAUGGAAGGGCCAUCGCUCAACGGAUAAAAGGUACUCCGGGGAUAACAGGCUGAUACCGCCCAAGAGUUCAUAUCGACGGCGGUGUUUGGCACCUCGAUGUCGGCUCAUCACAUCCUGGGGCUGAAGUAGGUCCCAAGGGUACGGCUGUUCGCCGUUUAAAGUGGUACGCGAGCUGGGUUUAGAACGUCGUGAGACAGUUCGGUCCCUAUCUGCCGUGGGCGUUGGAAGAUUGAGAGGGGUUGCUCCUAGUACGAGAGGACCGGAGUGAACGCACCACUGGUGUUCGGGUUGUCAUGCCAAUGGCAUUGCCCGGUAGCUACGUGCGGAAAAGAUAACCGCUGAAAGCAUCUAAGCGGGAAACUUGCCUCGAGAUGAGUCUUCCCUUGGACCUUGAGUCCACUGAAGGAACGUUAAAGACUAUGACGUUGAUAGGUCGGGUGUGUAAGCGUAGCGAUACGUUGAGCUAACCGAUACUAAUGAACCGUGAGACUUAACCUUACAACACCGAAGGUGUUU
RNAcentral lists this ribosomal RNA (2933 nucleotides) under Limnobaculum parvum. RNAcentral's name for it is "bacterial LSU rRNA". It matches the Rfam family "Bacterial large subunit ribosomal RNA". Lineage: Bacteria; Pseudomonadati; Pseudomonadota; Gammaproteobacteria; Enterobacterales; Budviciaceae. The record is from RNAcentral.